Molecule: ribosomal RNA, 694 nt
Filed under: uncultured bacterium
Lineage: Bacteria
Description: bacterial SSU rRNA
Rfam family: Bacterial small subunit ribosomal RNA
Source: RNAcentral
AACGCUAGCUACAGGCUUAACACAUGCAAGUCGAGGGGCAGCAUGAUUGAAGCUUGCUUCAAUUGAUGGCGACCGGCGCACGGGUGAGUAACGCGUAUCCAACCUUCCGUACACUCAGGGAUAGCCUUUCGAAAGAAAGAUUAAUACCUGAUGGUAUGAUGAGAUUGCAUGGUAACAUCAUUAAAGAUUCAUCGGUGUACGAUGGGGAUGCGUUCCAUUAGAUAGUAGGCGGGGUAACGGCCCACCUAGUCGACGAUGGAUAGGGGUUCUGAGAGGAAGGUCCCCCACAUUGGAACUGAGACACGGUCCAAACUCCUACGGGAGGCAGCAGUGAGGAAUAUUGGUCAAUGGGCGCGAGCCUGAACCAGCCAAGUAGCGUGAAGGAUGAAGGUCCUACGGAUUGUAAACUUCUUUUAUAAGGGAAUAAAGUCACCCACGUGUGGGUGUUUGUAUGUACCUUAUGAAUAAGCAUCGGCUAACUCCGUGCCAGCAGCCGCGGUAAUACGGAGGAUGCGAGCGUUAUCCGGAUUUAUUGGGUUUAAAGGGAGUGUAGACGGGUCGUUAAGUCAGCUGUGAAAGUUUGAGGCUCAACCUUAAAAUUGCAGUUGAUACUGGCGUCCUUGAGUACGGUUGAGGCAGGCGGAAUUCGUGGUGUAGCGGUGAAAUGCUUAGAUAUCACGAAGAACUCCGAUUG